Non-coding RNA from Salmo salar (Atlantic salmon), 90 nucleotides. The record is from Rfam. NCBI's taxonomy places the organism in Eukaryota, Metazoa, Chordata, Actinopteri, Salmoniformes, Salmonidae.
CCCCAUGUGGCUCAGUUGGUAGAGCAUGGUGUUUGCAAUGCCAGCAUGGUGUGUGCAACGCCAGGGUUGUGGGUUCGAUUUCCACGGGGG